GAUUAUGUGUCUGACACUUGUGA
Molecule: non-coding RNA, 23 nt
Filed under: Cricetulus griseus (Chinese hamster)
Lineage: Eukaryota; Metazoa; Chordata; Mammalia; Rodentia; Cricetidae
Source: RNAcentral